ACCGUUUGAGCUUGUUGGGAUGGACCUUAUAGGAAAGGUGGUUAAGACAGAGGCUGGGAACCAGUACAUUGCAGUCAUGGUUGACUAUUUUACAAAAUGGUCUGAAGCCUAUCCUUUACCGUCUAAAACAGCAGCAGAUGUUGCACAACGCAUUUUGAAGUUCUUUUAUCGCUUUGGGGCCCCUAAGCGAAUCCUGACCGACCAGGGGAAAGAAUUUGUCAAUGAGUUGACAGUUAAAUGUUAUUCUAAUUGUUUGUGGUUAUGGAUUACCACCAUAUUUAAGGUUUUGGAAAAUAUUGGUCUGCCAGAUUGACAGCAAGGUUGAAGACACUCUGGGGAAGGAGUCGAUGUUGGAGGCAAUAAAAAAACGGGACACAAUUUUCCAACUAGUUCAGCAAAACAUAAAAACAGCUCAGCAAAAAUACAAGACCACAACUCAUAAAUCAGAAACUUUUAAGGUUGGAGAAAAGGUUCUACGACUCAACAUAAGAAGCCAACAGCGUAAGGGUGGCAAACUUGAGAAAAAUUGGACGGGCCCAUACACCCUUGUUAACCUAAUCAACAAAAGUGCAGAUCUCCAAUCCCCAACCGCUUUUCUGCCAAAAGUGAACAUAGAUCAGCUUCGGUUAUUCAUUGAACAAGAACCAAUAAUCCCUCAGAUCAUUAUAAAAACUGGAAAACCUGCUGCCCCCCCUCAACCUGCUGGGGAUCCAGCCUCCACCCUUCAAGGUGUUGAAGCUGCUACAGAUCCUGCUGUGCCACCAUUUUCAGGCUCUACACAAGUAGAGAAGGAUAUCCGGAAAGCCUGGGAUGGCAUGACAGCGGCUGUUCUUUCUAAAAUUGGGCCUUAUAAGCUGUUUUACUUUGAUAUUUUCAGAACAGCACCAGGAAGGGAACUCGAGAGCGAGCUGAUCAAUGCCUACAUGAAAUGUUUGGAGAGGAAGCACAAUACAUCCUCAGCAGAGAAAGUGCUGUGUAUCGACUCGUUUGGCAUGUCUGCUGUGUGGCAAAAAAAAAUUCCACGCUUCAAG
Long non-coding RNA from Girardinichthys multiradiatus, 1031 nucleotides. RefSeq lists it as uncharacterized. The record is from RefSeq and is a predicted model, not a curated record. NCBI's taxonomy places the organism in Eukaryota, Metazoa, Chordata, Actinopteri, Cyprinodontiformes, Goodeidae. The transcript is spliced from 5 exons.